CUGGGCGGCGUUCUGGUUGCUAUGCCCUUUUGUGGCUGUUACAACCGGCCCCCACAACGCCCUUCUAUCACCUUCUUCACCGUGCUCUGAACUUUCUGGACAAAUGUAUGAAGUAUGAACCCAGACAAAGCCUCACUUCAAAGAGCCAAGUGGGUUGGGGCACCUGAGACCUAAUGAUGAUGAUGAUGGUGAUGACGAUGACAAUGAUGAUGACGAAGACGAUGAUGAUGAAGAGUUUCUGAUACUUGAGACUGAUGGAAGUUUUCACUUGAGUGUAUGAAGAGAUAAUCUUGGAGCCUGGGACACAAUCCAAGGAAGAAUUCAGGGACAAAGACGGAGCAGAGAUGGAAGAAAUACCAACCAAUGGCUGCCAGACCGGAGACCCAGCCCGCGGGAGAGAGCCCACCCGACACUAUUAAUACUACUCUGCUGUGC
This 435-nucleotide small RNA is filed under the name Rattus norvegicus (Norway rat). RNAcentral's name for it is "uncharacterized LOC102547473". Lineage: Eukaryota; Metazoa; Chordata; Mammalia; Rodentia; Muridae. The record is from RNAcentral.